AGAAAGGUAAGCUAAAUUAAGCUACUAGGUUCAUACCCUAUUUAUAGAGGCAAUUCCUCUCCUCUCUA
Molecule: transfer RNA, 68 nt
Filed under: Piezodorus guildinii (redbanded stink bug)
Lineage: Eukaryota; Metazoa; Arthropoda; Insecta; Hemiptera; Pentatomidae
Description: tRNA-Met
Source: RNAcentral